UCGUUCAGCAGAAUCAGCCUCUCCGAAUCCAGCACAUCCAACAGGUUCUUCUGCAGCUCCAUUUUCCUAGACGACUCGCCCCACCUCUUCUCCACCACUGUAAGCUCGUUCAGAACAAUAUCGUACUCCACACUUUUCAUAACUAAAUCUGCCAUCACCAUAUCAAUGUCCGUUUCUUUAGCUUUGGCUUUUACAGGGGAUACAGUUUGAGUAGUCUGGAAAGACAGUGAACUCUCCGCAUCCGAAUCAAUAACUUCUCCAGUGUAUUCAUCAUCAAAAUUCAAGAUCGGAAUCG
Molecule: long non-coding RNA, 295 nt
Filed under: Erythranthe guttata (spotted monkey flower)
Lineage: Eukaryota; Viridiplantae; Streptophyta; Magnoliopsida; Lamiales; Phrymaceae
Description: long non-coding RNA (EGUT_LNC003886)
Source: RNAcentral